This 269-nucleotide ribosomal RNA is filed under the name Kernia pachypleura. RNAcentral's name for it is "partial 26S ribosomal RNA". It matches the Rfam family "Eukaryotic large subunit ribosomal RNA", at positions 1 to 262 of the family's 3401-position model. The record is from RNAcentral. Lineage: Eukaryota; Fungi; Ascomycota; Sordariomycetes; Microascales; Microascaceae.
UAGUUUGACCUCGGAUCAGGUAGGGUUACCCGCUGAACUUAAGCAUAUCAAUAAGCGGAGGAAAAGAAACCAACAGGGAUUGCCUCAGUAACGGCGAGUGAAGCGGCAACAGCUCAAAUUUGAAAUCUGGUCACCUUACGGAGGCCCGAGUUGUAAUUUGAAGAGGAUGCUUUUGGCAAGGUGCCUUCCGAGUGCCCUGGAACGGGACGCCACAGAGGGUGAGAGCCCCGUAUGGUUGGACACCGAGCCUAUGUAAAGCUCCUUCGACG